This 265-nucleotide long non-coding RNA is filed under the name Homo sapiens (human). Its description in RNAcentral is "non-protein coding lnc-RETSAT-1:2". Lineage: Eukaryota; Metazoa; Chordata; Mammalia; Primates; Hominidae. The record is from RNAcentral.
GCGCUUCGGGGUCCGGUCGCCGGGGACCUGGGCUCCCCAUGUAGGGGUCGAACGGGCUUAGCCGGUUCGGGGGCGCCCCGCUCCCUCCUCUUCUCCCACAGCCGGGGUCCUCUCUUAGGGGCGCGCCGUCUCCUGGCUUCCUGAGAGGCUUUAGCCUAGACAGCUGAGUGUGAGGAACAGUGAUUCCCAUUGAUCCUUGUUCCCUCCGUGGGUCACAGAGUCCAGAACUUAAGAGCCACCCAAGAUCUGAAGACAGCAUGUACAC